RNAcentral lists this long non-coding RNA (783 nucleotides) under Homo sapiens (human). RNAcentral's name for it is "HSALNT0396176". The record is from RNAcentral. Lineage: Eukaryota; Metazoa; Chordata; Mammalia; Primates; Hominidae.
AAGACCAAAAGCCCCGAAGACACUUGUGGGUGGGGGUGGGUGAACUUCCUCCUUAUCCUGUGCCCUAGGCCCCAGGCCCUGGGGCACUGGGGAAGCCUGCGCAGGGACUUCUUAGCCAGGUGCUGGUCUGGAGCCCAGGGCCUGGGCAGUACCCAGCUGCCAGUCUGGACGCUCAGGCCAGUUGGGGGAGGGGGCUGUUCUCCCACCCUCCUCGUGGGGCCGGCCUGGCGCCAGUGGGGCGGCUUGAGGGGGUGGUGCCCAGGCCACAAGGGUGACACUGGCAGAGGCCUGGAACCGGCUGUACCAGCUUGGCUGGGCCCCCGCCCUCCCUGUCUGGCCCAAUCUCCACCCCGUGCUCAAACACCCAUGCAGAGUGUUUGGAGGAACCCUACUCCCACAUGCUGGCCUGUCCACAGAGACCCGUGCCCCUCUGUCUGUGCCCCACCACAUUUCUCCCCCAAUUAAAGGAGACCCUCAGUGGGGUGCGGUGGCUCACACCUGUAAUCCCAGCACUUUGGGAGGCCCAGGUGGGAGGAUCCCUUAGGGCCAGGACUUCCAGACCAGCCUAGGCAACAGAAUGAGACCCUGUCUCAAUAAAAUAUAAAAAAAUAAAACUUAGCAGUUGUGGUGUGCUUGUAGUCCCAGUUACUCUGGAGGCUGAGGCAGGAGGAUCGCUUUUACCCAGGAGUUCAGGGCUGCAGCGAGCUAUGAUUGUGUAGCUGAACUCUAGCCUGAGCAACAGAGUGAGAUGGUCUUGUUUUGUUGCCCAGGCUGGAGUCCAGU